This 86-nucleotide transfer RNA is filed under the name Microcaldota archaeon. Its description in RNAcentral is "tRNA-Leu". It matches the Rfam family "tRNA". From Rfam's summary of the family: Transfer RNA (tRNA) molecules are approximately 80 nucleotides in length. Their secondary structure includes four short double-helical elements and three loops (D, anti-codon, and T loops). Lineage: Archaea; Nanobdellati; Microcaldota. The record is from RNAcentral.
GGAAGGGUAGCCAAGCCAGGUCAAAGGCGCCAGGUUCAGGGCCUGGUCCCGUAGUGGGUUCGUGGGUUCAAAUCCCACCCCUUCCA